Molecule: long non-coding RNA, 825 nt
Filed under: Daucus carota (carrot)
Lineage: Eukaryota; Viridiplantae; Streptophyta; Magnoliopsida; Apiales; Apiaceae
Description: long non-coding RNA (DCAR_LNC002342)
Source: RNAcentral
CCCAUAACUCUCUCCUCAUGCAUCCGAUUGCUUCGCCGUUUUUUUCAAUGAAAGCUAUGAAUCUCCUCUUCGUCCUCCUUCCAAGAAACCUACACAACACCACAGUAAAACAUAUCUAAAACAUCAAAAGCUUGAGGCCAUUUCAUCGUUUAAGUCAAAAACGAAGGCUUCCAAGUGGAUAUGAAAUCCACUUAUCACACCCCCAAACUUAAACCGAUGCUUGUCCUCAAGCAUAGACACACACACAAAUACUACUAAUGAAAUGCAUGAAUGCAACUAAAGGCCUACAUCUAAUCGAAUCAUGAAGUCUAAUCCUUGUUAACAUAUAACCUUCAGAAUAUGCAACAUUCUCGGCAUUCAUCUCUUUCACAUGUUAGCCAUGUUCUCUUCCACUAAAAGUGGGAAGUGCAUCGUGUGUGCUAGCAUGCUCUCUAGUGAAACAAAACAAAGACCAUCAAACUUCAACAGAGUCCUCACUAUGAGCCGUUAAUCAGAAUCAGGUUUAAACACUUCUUUACUAAAGAGUCAACUACAAUUUAGGGUCACUAAAGAAUUCCUAUGCCUCUCCUAUUUUUUUUCUUUUUUUUUUUUCUUUUUCUUGCUAAGUCUAAGGUUGGGACGCUUCUCAGUGUAAGUGAGUCACGACCGCCAUUCGACUUCGCUUUUUCUAUUUUUUUCUUUUUUUUUUUUUUUUAAUCAAGUAAUUCUCCAGUAAUCAAAGGUUGUGAAAGGUCACCAAGAAAUUGCUUAUUCUAAUACAUUUGCACUUAAUACCAGCACAAGUACAUGGAUCGUCCCUUUCACAUGACAUUGCAUUCUACCCAU